Molecule: ribosomal RNA, 468 nt
Filed under: uncultured bacterium
Lineage: Bacteria
Description: partial 16S ribosomal RNA
Rfam family: Bacterial small subunit ribosomal RNA
Source: RNAcentral
GACGAACGCUGGCGGCGUGCUUAACACAUGCAAGUCGAACGGAAAGGCCCUGCUUUUGUGGGGUGCUCGAGUGGCGAACGGGUGAGUAACACGUGAGUAACCUGCCCUUGUCUUUGGGAUAACUUCAGGAAACUGGGGCUCAUAUCGGAUAGGAGCUCCUGCUGCAUGGUGGGGGUUGGAAAGUUUCGGCGGUUGGGGAUGGACUCGCGGCUUAUCAGCUUGUUGGUGGGGUAGUGGCUUACAAAGGCUUUGAAGGGUAGCCGGCCUGAGAGGGGGACCGGCGACAAGGGGACUGAGAUACGGACCAGUAGCCUACGGGAGGCAGCAGGGGGGAGUAUUGCAGAAUGGGCGGAAGUCUGAGGCAGCAACGCCGCGUGCGGGAUGACGUGCUUCGGGUUGUAAACAGCUGUCGCAGGUGACGAAGAGUGAGUGACGGUAAUGGGUAAAGAAGCACCGGCUAACUACGUG